CCCUUAGAUGUUCUGGGCUGCACGCGCGCUACACUGAAGCGUUCAACGAGUAUUCACCUUGCCCGGGAGGGUUGGGUAAUCUUUUGAAAACGCUUCGUGAUGGGGAUAGAUUAUUGCAAUUAUUAAUCUUCAACGAGGAAUUCCUAGUAAGCGCGAGUCAUCAGCUCGUGCUGAUUACGUCCCUGCCCUUUGUACACACCGCCCGUCGCUCCUACCGAUCGAAGAGUUAGGUGAAUUGUUUUGAUCGAUAAGAUUUGACUAUGGUCAACUCUCGUUGGGAAAUUCUGUGAAUCUGACUGUUUAGAGGAAGGAAAAGUCGUAACA
This 324-nucleotide ribosomal RNA is filed under the name uncultured eukaryote. Its description in RNAcentral is "partial 18S ribosomal RNA". It matches the Rfam family "Eukaryotic small subunit ribosomal RNA", at positions 1470 to 1796 of the family's 1831-position model. The record is from RNAcentral.